RNAcentral lists this ribosomal RNA (230 nucleotides) under uncultured bacterium. RNAcentral's name for it is "partial 16S ribosomal RNA". It matches the Rfam family "Bacterial small subunit ribosomal RNA", at positions 524 to 752 of the family's 1533-position model. The record is from RNAcentral.
GACAGAGGCCUCAAGCGUUAGGCGGAAUCACUGGGCUUAAAGCGUGUGUAGGCGGAUCGUUAAGUGUCUUGUGAAAUCCCACGGCUCACCCGUGGAACUGCUGGGCAUACUGGCGAUCUUGGGCCAACUAGGGGCAACUGGAACAAGCGGUGGAGCGGUGAAAUGCGUAGAUAUCGCUUGGAACGCCAAAGGUGAAAACAGGUUGCUGGGGUUGUGCCGACGCGUGAGAC